GACGAACGCUGGCGGCGUGCUUAACACAUGCAAGUCGAACGGAAAGGCCCUGCUUUUGUGGGGUGCUCGAGUGGCGAACGGGUGAGUAACACGUGAGUAACCUGCCCUUGACUUUGGGAUAACUUCAGGAAACUGGGGCUAAUACCGGAUAGGAGCUCCUGCUGCAUGGUGGGGGUUGGAAAGUUUCGGCGGUUGGGGAUGGACUCGCGGCUUAUCAGCUUGUUGGUGGGGUAGUGGCUUACCAAGGCUUUGACGGGUAGCCGGCCUGAGAGGGUGACCGGGCACAUUGGGACUGAGGUACGGCCCAGACUGCUACGGGAGGCAGCAGUGGGGAAUAUUGCACAAUGGGCGGAAGCCUGAUGCAGCAACGCCGCGUGCGGGAUGACGGCCUUCGGGUUGUAAACCGCUUUCGCCUGUGACGAAGCGUGAGUGACGGUAAUGGGUAAAGAAGCACCGGCUAACUACGUG
Molecule: ribosomal RNA, 468 nt
Filed under: uncultured bacterium
Lineage: Bacteria
Description: partial 16S ribosomal RNA
Rfam family: Bacterial small subunit ribosomal RNA
Source: RNAcentral